CGGAGCGCCGGCGGGCACGACGCGGAGCGCGGGCGGCGCUCACGGGCUGCGGUCGGGAGGUCGUCCCCGCAGGGCUCGGCCGCGAGCCCGACCAUUAGCGUGGCUGCAGUGCGGCCGUUUCUGUGAGCGGCGUGUCCGAGGGCCCGGACCCGGGAGCUCUGUGUGGAGGCGCCGUGCAAGACUGAAUUAGGGCCGAAAAAAAUACCUUAGCCUAACGACGAAAAGCUGCGUUUAAGAGUGAAAUGCUAGUUCGCUGUAAUGCUGGAGGUCUCCAAGGAAAUAAGCUAGAGCACCGACACAGGAGAAUUGCACUUCCUAACACAUUUCCCAGCAGCAACUAGGCAGGUUCAGGAAAUGUACAGCAUCUGAUGGAGACAAGUUUCAGAUACCCAGAUCUGCCACAGGCUCUUGGUGGAAAAGCUAAGUUAUGAUGAGAUACUUCAGUACACAACACAAGCAAAAUAUUAAGAGUAAAAUAGGGAAGUAAGAAAGAGGAAGAGAAACCAAGAAAGGAAAUAAUCUACAGCAAUCUCAGAAACCUAAUUCCAGAGUGCCAGGAGGUACCGCUCAGGCAAACAGACCUAGAUUUCAAAACGAAUUGGAAAGAAAGAACGAAGAGAAUGUUUUCAGUUCUCAGCUCCGACCUAUUUGGGGUUUAAGAUUAAAAGGCUCCGGCAAACCAGUAGAAGCUGACCCAGUUCACUGCAAUGACUGCAGGCUUUGUCUCCGGCCCCUCUGUCCCGCCCCCAGUCCGCGGGGUCCGUCCCCCGGCGUCCAGCCCCGCAUCUCCAAGGUCUCCCGGCGGGUACCGGGCUGCAGGCCGCCAACCCCUCGGGGCCCGCAGACGGCUUCGAGCUGACCAGUUCCCAGGCUGCAACCUUGGCCCCUUCUAAUCCAGUCUCUGCAGUGCCACCAGGGGUGACUCUGUGACACCUGGCCGGUAUCUGAGCACACACGGUGUGAUCGUUGUCUGCUGCUUGAAUUGGUUAUUUUCCAAGCAGUCACCUACAUCCUUCAAGCUUUCCGUAUUUCACUGGAUCCAAGACGCUCCGAUACUUCGUGCUUUCUCGGCCUUAUCUGCACCGAGAGGUUUUCACACCCGCGGCUGGAAGAGCCGCGAAGAAUGAAUACAUCAGAGUAUUUCUCAAAAUGUGGUCUUGCCUGGGAACUAGUUAGAAAUACACAUUUGCUGGCCCAACUGAAGACCAUCGAGUCAGAACCGGGUAGCGGCCAGUAUCUUAUCAGGUCAUAUCACUCACGACAGACUGAUGUUCCCUGAGGUCAAGUGUCCAUCCUACGACCAAUCGCCUGCGACCCGACACGGAGGCAGGUGGGAGAGCGCGGGCGACAGAUGUUAACAGUUAGGGGCACCCUGGGCAGCUCCCCAAGGGGCGUGCGACUGGCACUGCCGGACACACCUCAACUAGUAGUAGUAACUUCGCAGCCAUAAAGUGCUAUUCUUGUGAAGACAAUGGAAUGCUGAUGUUUCAUGCUAAUUUUAUUUUUAUUGUUUAUAUUUUAAAACUAUAACUUUGAUAUUUGAAACUUCCAAGCUUUUUGAUAGUUUCACAUGCUUCAUAAGUAAUUUUGUCUGCAAAGUCAAUUUUUUGUCAUAAUGUCUUCAGUUAAUCAUCUUCUGUCCGCUCUUCAGCUGUAUAUUUCAUUUAUAUUUAGGUAUCUUUGAUAAUCAUUUGUUCAUAAAGAAAAAAAACACGCUCUGACUGGGACAAAGGGAACGAACACCUUCCUGUUUCCAAUGCUUGCCUCUGAAAGGGUCGUUUCAUGAACGAAACACCCAAACUGCUGUGCUAUUUCAGCGUUCCCGGGACGUGGGCGUGGCCGUGCCCUUUGCCCCGGCUGUAGGGCCUCGCACUGAGCGACCCGAGGGCAGCCUCGCUCCCCUUCUUGCCCCCCUGCAGUGCUGUCACCACCGCCGUCACGAUCUUCUCAACGUUUCAUGGUCGGUCCUGUUUUCCCUUUGCUUGAAGUGUUUCAGCGAUGUUUUAGGGGAAGGCCAAGAUCCUGAACAGGGCUUCGGGGCCUCCACUUACAGGCCUUCCUUAAGGUUAUUUUAAAACUUACGAAAACAAACUUACUAAAAGAUAGCAUAGUUUGACAAAUCUCCAUACCAGUUUCCCUAAUAAUCAAGAACUGGCCACACUGCAUUCCACAAAAAUAUGCCCAUCUUAUUUAUUUUCAUCUCUUGUCUAGCCAGGUUAACCUGUCUUCUAGGGUAAGAAGGUGUGUUCAAAGCGCAGCCUUGCUGGGGCCAGUAUUUCUUUCUUUGGAUUUCAGUUUGUUCAUCUGUAACUGGAAGUAGGAACAGUGAAUAUAUCAUACAAUCACUGUGAAUAAUAAACGUAUUCAUACAUUAAAAACACUUAAAAACUGUCUGGCAUAUAGUGUAUGCUGAAUAAACGAGGUCAUUGUCACUAUCACAAGUCACUCGAACCUCUGCGCAGCCUACAGGCACUAUUCUUACCCUCUCGGACAUUGUUCGGUGCAUGUCUACCAACAGUUUAAAUGUCACAUCUUCAGGGAAGACUUGCCCAACCUCCCCAGAAUAGGCUAAACUGUCUUACUACACUUACUAAAGCUUUCCCAGCAUGGCACUGAUUGCAAAUUAUUAAUUUGUGAGGUUGAGUACCACACGUCUCUCCAGUACAAAAAGACCCAUGACGAGAGAAUGGUAUCUGUUUGGCUCCAUUUUAAAUUCCCAACACCUACGACAUCGUAGGUACUCAAAACAUUCAUUUUGUAUUUAAGGAUCAGUUUCUUUUCACCUUACUUGUUUGGGUAAAAUUCUCUGCUGUCAACAUGUAUAAACUAAUUAUGAUAAU
Molecule: non-coding RNA, 2840 nt
Organism: Manis javanica (Malayan pangolin)
Lineage: Eukaryota; Metazoa; Chordata; Mammalia; Pholidota; Manidae
Source: RefSeq, a predicted model, not a curated record